Molecule: unclassified non-coding RNA, 279 nt
Organism: Gorilla gorilla gorilla (western lowland gorilla)
Lineage: Eukaryota; Metazoa; Chordata; Mammalia; Primates; Hominidae
Rfam family: Metazoan signal recognition particle RNA
About the family: The signal recognition particle (SRP) is a universally conserved ribonucleoprotein. It is involved in the co-translational targeting of proteins to membranes.
Source: Ensembl
CCCUGGCACUGUAGUGUGUGCCUGUAGUCCCAGCUAUUCAGGGGCUAGGGCAGGAAGAUCUCUUGAGCCCAGGAGUUCUGUGCUAUAGUGAUCGAGAGUCCGCCAUAAAUUCAGCAUCAAUAUACUGACUUCCUGGGAGAGGAGGACCACCAGGUUGCCUAAGGAGGGAUUUAACAGCCCAGGUGAAAAAACAGAGCAGGUCAAAACUCAUGUGUUGAUCAGUAGUGGGAUCACUACUAAUGCAAUUUCUCCCAUAGAAAUGGGAGAUCCCGUUUCUUU